GUGCCAGCAGCCGCGGUAACACGUACUGUGCGAACGUUAUUCGGAAUCACUGGGCUUAAAGGGUGCGUAGGCGGCCAUUUAAGUAGGGUGUGAAAUCCCCCGGCUCAACCGGGGAAUGGCGCUCUAAACUGGAUGGCUGGAGUGAGAUAGGGGUGUGUGGAACUUCCAGUGGAGCGGUGAAAUGUGUUGAUAUUGGAAGGAACGCCGUUGGCGAAAGCGGCACACUGGGUCUCAACUGACGCUGAGGCACGAAAGCUAGGGGAGCGAACGGGAUUAGAUACCCGUGUAGUCC
This 292-nucleotide ribosomal RNA is filed under the name uncultured bacterium. RNAcentral describes it as "partial 16S ribosomal RNA". It matches the Rfam family "Bacterial small subunit ribosomal RNA", at positions 505 to 796 of the family's 1533-position model. The record is from RNAcentral.